UACGAAGGGGGCUAGCGUUGUUCGGAAUCACUGGGCUUAAAGGGCGCGUAGGCGGGCCGCCGCGUCCGGGGUGAAAUCCCCCCGCUCAACGGGGGGACGGCCUCGGAUACGGGCGGCCUGGAGGCGGGUAGGGGCACGCGGAACUGUGGGUGGAGCGGUGAAAUGCGUUGAGAUCCACAGGAACUCCGGUGGCGAAGGCGGCGUGCUGGACCCGUCCUGACGCUGAGGCGCGAAAGCCAGGGGAGCAAACGGG
RNAcentral lists this ribosomal RNA (253 nucleotides) under uncultured bacterium. RNAcentral's name for it is "partial 16S ribosomal RNA". It matches the Rfam family "Bacterial small subunit ribosomal RNA", at positions 524 to 776 of the family's 1533-position model. The record is from RNAcentral.